RNAcentral lists this transfer RNA (82 nucleotides) under Stegodyphus dumicola. Its description in RNAcentral is "tRNA-Leu". It matches the Rfam family "tRNA". Rfam says of the family: Transfer RNA (tRNA) molecules are approximately 80 nucleotides in length. Lineage: Eukaryota; Metazoa; Arthropoda; Arachnida; Araneae; Eresidae. The record is from RNAcentral.
GGUAGCGUGGCCGAGCGGUCUAAGGCGCUGGUUUAAGGCACCACUCUCUUCGGGGGCGUGGGUUCGAAUCCCACCGCUGCCA